AACUACUACGAAAGAGUGGCUAACUACCGCAUACGAUCUAAGGAUGAAAGCGGGGGAUCGCAAGACCUCGCGUCGUUUGGAGCGGCCGAUGGCAGAUUAGGUAGUUGGUGGGGUAAAGGCUUACCAAGCCCGCGAUCUGUAGCUGGUCUGAGAGGAUGAUCAGCCACACUGGGACUGAGACACGGCCCAGACUCCUACGGGAGGCAGCAGUGGGGAAUUUUGGACAAUGGGCGAAAGCCUGAUCCAGCCAUUCCGCGUGCAGGAUGAAGGCCCUCGGGUUGUAAACUGCUUUUGUACAGAACGAAAAGGCUCUUUCUAAUACAGAGAGUCCAUGACGGUACUGUAAGAAUAAGCACCGGCUAACUACGUG
This 370-nucleotide ribosomal RNA is filed under the name uncultured bacterium. Its description in RNAcentral is "bacterial SSU rRNA". It matches the Rfam family "Bacterial small subunit ribosomal RNA", at positions 145 to 507 of the family's 1533-position model. The record is from RNAcentral.